AUGUUUGCCCCAUGGAGCUCUAAAGGUUGCCCUAUGGAGCUCCAAGUGCUCACUCACGGGGCCCCAAGAAUUGCUCCAAGAAUUGCCCCACAGAGCCCCAAAGGUUGCCCCAAGAGUUGCCCUGUGGAGCUCCAAGUGUUGCCUCAUGGACCCCUAUGGGUUACCCCAUGGAGCCCCAAGGGUUGCUCUAAAACUUGCCAGACGUGUUGCCCCACGGAGCCCCAGGAGUUGCCCCAGGGGCUGCCCCACAGAGCCCCACGAGAGCUCCCCAGGCACUUCCAACCCCCAGCAGGAGGGCUGACAUACCGUGCUGCUGGUGGUCCCCGUGGCCACUGCCUGCUGGAAGUGCGCGGCCAGCCCGGCCUUGUCCUUGCACUGCUCCUUGCACUCCAGACACCUGAAGCAGCUGUAGUUGCUCUGCUCCGAGCCGCUGCUGCUCAGGGGCAGGAUGGGGAGCUCUGGGGCCCCGUUGGCUGCGCUCAGAGCGUCCUGAGUCACGCCGGCCACUUUGCCGGCAGGGAAGGAAGCCACGGAGACCAGCGGGGUGAUGUCCGGCUGCCCGAUCAUCUGAUCCAAGGCGAUGGGCCUCAUGACCAGGUGGGAGCACUGCAUCACCAGCCCCUUGUCCUUGUGCUCGCGGGCGUGCAGCAGCAGGCUGCACUUGUUGAAGAAGACGAGGCGUUUGGUGCAGUGGUUGCAGGUCACCUCGAUGCGCAUGCUGCGCCGGUCGUAGUGGCGAGCCAAACUCUUCUCCAGAGCGAAGGAAUCCCCGCACUCCAGGCACCGGUACCCGAAGGGCGGCAGCGCCAGGCUGGCAUCGGCCGGGGGGCUCAGGUUGGGUUUGUAGGUGGGCAGCAGAUUCUUGCUGUUGAGGAUCUUGUUGAAGGCCUCCACCAGGCUGGAUUGGCUCCGGGAAAUGACGGUGCCCGCGACGGUCGGGGAGGGCUUCUGCGGCUGCACCAUCACCACCGUGGUGCCGUUCAGCUUCUGGUUGGCCGUGGUGGUGAUGGCGGUGGUCUGCGUGACGGGGCUGGCGUUGGUCCUCGUGUCGGCCUUGGGCAGCGUCUGCGGCACCAGGUUGAUGAUGUUCUUGGCGACGGCUUUGCCCGUCUUGGCCGGCAGCACCACGGACUUCUGCUGUGCCACGCUGGCAGCGAUCAGCAUGGCGCUGCUGGCGCUCUGGAUGGUGGAGACGGGCAGCACGGUGCCUUUGAUCUUGGUGCCGUUGCCGAGUUGGACGCUGACAAUUUUGGGCCCCUCAAUGGCUUUCAAGGGGCUGGAGAGAUCCAUCUUGUCCCGGGACACCUCCAGUGCGAUGCCGUCCUCCUUCUCCGCCUCCAGAGCGGCGUCUUCGGAGCUCUGCUCGGCCGAACCCCUGGCAGAGCUGGGCUCUGA
RNAcentral lists this long non-coding RNA (1395 nucleotides) under Meleagris gallopavo (turkey). RNAcentral's name for it is "lncRNA (ENSMGAG00000001108.3)". Lineage: Eukaryota; Metazoa; Chordata; Aves; Galliformes; Phasianidae. The record is from RNAcentral.